This 434-nucleotide ribosomal RNA is filed under the name uncultured bacterium. RNAcentral's name for it is "partial 16S ribosomal RNA". It matches the Rfam family "Bacterial small subunit ribosomal RNA", at positions 29 to 507 of the family's 1533-position model. The record is from RNAcentral.
AGCGAACGCUGGCGGCAGGCCUAACACAUGCAAGUCGAACGAACCUUUCGGGGUUAGUGGCGGACGGGUGAGUAACACGUGGGAACGUGCCUUUAGGUUCGGAAUAACUCAGGGAAACUUGUGCUAAUACCGAAUGUGCCCUUCGGGGGAAAGAUUAAUCGCCUUUAGAGCGGCCCGCGUCUGAUUAGCUAGUUGGUUGAGGUAAUGGCUCACCAAGGCGACGAUCAGUAGCUGGUCUGAGAGGAUGAUUAGCCACAUUGGGACUGAGACACGGCCCAAACUCCUACGGGAGGCAGCAGUGGGGAAUCUUGCGCAAUGGGCGAAAGCCUGACGCAGCCAUGCCGCGUGAAUGAUGAAGGUCUUAGGAUUGUAAAAUUCUUUCACCGGGGACGAUAAUGACGGUACCCGGAGAAGAAGCCCCGGCUAACUUCGUG